This 464-nucleotide ribosomal RNA is filed under the name Vreelandella stevensii. Its description in RNAcentral is "partial 16S ribosomal RNA". It matches the Rfam family "Bacterial small subunit ribosomal RNA", at positions 338 to 795 of the family's 1533-position model. Lineage: Bacteria; Pseudomonadati; Pseudomonadota; Gammaproteobacteria; Oceanospirillales; Halomonadaceae. The record is from RNAcentral.
CCUACGGGCGGCAGCAGUGGGGAAUAUUGGACAAUGGGCGAAAGCCUGAUCCAGCCAUGCCGCGUGUGUGAAGAAGGCCUUCGGGUUGUAAAGCACUUUCAGUGGGGAAGAAAGCCUUGGGGCUAAUACCCUCGAGGAAGGACAUCACCCACAGAAGAAGCACCGGCUAACUCCGUGCCAGCAGCCGCGGUAAUACGGAGGGUGCGAGCGUUAAUCGGAAUUACUGGGCGUAAAGCGCGCGUAGGCGGUCUGAUAAGCCGGUUGUGAAAGCCCCGGGCUCAACCUGGGAACGGCAUCCGGAACGGUCAGGCUAGAGUGCAGGAGAGGAAGGUAGAAUUCCCGGUGUAGCGGUGAAAUGCGUAGAGAUCGGGAGGAAUACCAGUGGCGAAGGCGGCCUUCUGGACUGACACUGACGCUGAGGUGCGAAAGCGUGGGUAGCAAACAGGAUUAGAUACCUUGUAGUC